Chelmon rostratus (copperband butterflyfish) is the source of this 3250-nucleotide long non-coding RNA. RefSeq lists it as uncharacterized. The record is from RefSeq and is a predicted model, not a curated record. The transcript is spliced from 3 exons. NCBI's taxonomy places the organism in Eukaryota, Metazoa, Chordata, Actinopteri, Chaetodontiformes, Chaetodontidae.
CCUGUCCUCUGUUACUCUCCUCUCAGCUGUUUCUUCCUCCGCUGCCUUCUGUUUCCUCGCUCGUCUGCUGUCUCUCCAGCUCAGGAGCAGGUGAAAUGCCAGGCUGAGAGCUGACCCUGGAAAUAGUCACACCCAGCUCCUCUCUCUCCUCGCCUCCUUCCUCCCCUCAUCUCUCAGCUGAGCGCCAAUUAAGGCAAACUGGCAUUCUGGACAAGCCGGUGUGAGGGGGAGGUUUUUGGAUUUGGCUGAGGUCCCAUCGUGGAGCAGAAGUCGCAGAGUAACUGUCUUGCUCUCUUGUGUCCUGCUGGUCUGCAGAGAGCUGCUGUUUUUCUCCAGUUAGACUAAACUACACUGCUAGCAUACGGCAGGGAGACAGACAGGUCAGUCUGUGGUCUAAAUGCCAGCUGUGCUGUGGAGCAGCGGCCUGUGAGGUGCCUGACCUGCCUGACCUAAGCCUUCCAGCUAGCAAUGCCUGACCCACUUCGCUCAAACACAACAUUAACUUUUGCAAUUUAAGUCUACAUAAAUACACACAUUAAAUACUUUUUGACCCUAAUUAUCCAUGUAAGAGGACAUGAGCCACAUGUUUCAGGGUUUUGGGGGAGAUAAAGGUGGAGUUCUUUCACCACAAAGGAAAGACUUCUGAUCCAAAUGGCUAUAAUCAAUAUUUUUCUGAGAAGAAUAUAUCAAAUGACAAUUUGAAAACAGUGUUGAACCUGCAGAGAACUAUCACCAGAAACUGCAGCUCCCCUCAGCUUUAGGUGUUUUAGAACAAGUUUCAGCUCCUCAUUUAACUGUCCAGUCAGCAACCCUACUGUAUUAAUUCACUCUCACCACUCUCAUAGCAGCAGGAAGACACAGUAAGCAACUAGCUGGUGAAUAUAGGCGAAGGCCAUAUGUUGCCCUCAAGAGUUGCUAGAGACCACAAAAUGAGCUAAAAUGAGAGUGAAUACUGGACUUACAUUCACCAGGUGGCCACAGACAUGACUCAAAAUGAAUGAUAAUGUUGCACAGUAACUGCUGGAUGUGUAAAUAAGCAAUUCUUUGCAGACUGCUUCGCCAUAUAAACUUAAAAUGAUGUUGAUGUCGUGUUCAGGACUUGUUUCCACUGUCCCCAAGUAGCCAAAAAAAUUACCGGCUCAACCACAAGCUUUGGAACUUGAACACCAAUGCCAAUUCAAGGCAAAUUAAAUCAAUGCCGUAAGAAGAAUUUGCACAUUCAUUAACAAGAAGAAGGGUCUGAUCUUAGGUCAAAGGUGCAAAUAACAGCAUCAGAACUGUUCUUUUUCCGAUGCUCACAACAACUUCAGCAGUAUACUGCAAAACAAAUAUGGAAUAUCAAGCCAUCUUGACAUCACACAGGAACACAGCUUUUCAAAUAUUUAUAGCAACUGUAUGACGGCAUGGUUAUGUCUAGCAAUUUACUGGCCUUCAUGCACAUAGGAAACAUUUGCUAGAAUGUAGCUAAUUAUGCUAAUUAAGUUUUCUGAUUCAGAACAUAUGAAGUCAUCUGACACAGUACACCUCUUCUGCAUUACAACAGAUGAUACGGUAGAUAUUAAAAUUCUGUAAAUAAACACACACACACACACACACACACACACACACACACACACACACAAAAUUACACCAUCCACCUGUGUGAGGUAAUGCUGUAUAAUUUCUGGCCCUCACAACACAAUAUCAUGCAACAUCAGGUUGAUCUCUGCCCAUUUAAGGUCACACACACAUAGUUCAGGCCCAGGGUCCUCUGGGAUCAGCACUUCAUCUUGGAUGGCAUGCUCUCCCAGCCUCUCACAAAACCCGAUAUGGACAAGGGCAUGUAUUUUCUACAUAGUUUACCUGACAUCCACCUCAAAAUAUGGUGAUUUAAUUUGUACUCCAGUGAGGUGCUGAGCACCACACUGGAUAAACAGGCCUUUGAAACAUAACUGUGUUUUAAAAAGGGUCUUUUUUCCUGUUUUGAUCUCAAGUAAUUCAAAUUGAGAAUCCAUUCAUUCAGGGAUGUCUUAGUAGAAAUUGUGAAAAUUGAAAGAACAGAAAAGAUUCUUGUGCGUUGACUGUGAAGAAUUUGUGGUACAGGGACGAUUAUGUAAGUGUUCGUCAUAUUAUGUUCCCAUAAAUGUUCAUCAUUUUUUCUGUAGGUCUAACGAAAUAUUAUGUUUCCUAUAAAUAACAUUUUGCCAAUUCAUUGGCAUAACUUUUUCAACACUGAAAGUUAAACAGAGACAUGCAUUGUGUCUGUGUGUGUGUGUGUGUGCGUGUGUGCGUGUGUGUGUGUGUGUGUCUGUGUGUGUGUGCGUGUGUGUGUGUGUGUGUGCAUGCAGCUGUGGUUCGAAUGCAACACGAUUAUUUAUGCUGCUGUUCUGUUGAUGUGGCUACAUGCAUUUUACCUUGAAAAAGACAAACGUGUUGACACACAACGCCACUGAUCAUUGUUACGAAACACACACUGUAGUGUACACACACAUUUUCUGGGGAAUGGCUGUUAUAUGGCUCAGGGUCUGAGGAGCCAAGAGACAGAGAGAAAAAACUGAUGAGAUCUGAGAGAAAUACGAUCAGCGGCUCUGUGUGCUUGGUGUAAACUCGGUUUAAAAGACAUUGCUUUGAGGAAGGAUAAAAGAAGAGAUGCAUAGAGGCUGGAAAAGUCAAACUGUAGUAAGAAGCACUAACAAUAAGCAGGGUGGAGAGCAAAGUAACUGAGAAAUGGAUCUGAAUUGGUGGAGGUUGGCACUGUCCUGUGAUUACAGGGAAGCCACUAGCAGGUAUCUUGUUCCUAACAUUUAACAGAUGGCACUUAUGGACCCGUGAAGCACGUCUUUAAAGAGGGCCGGGGCCUCUCCUCUUUUCCCCUCUCAUCCACUGACACAGCAAGAGAUGGAAACACCACCAUGUCCUCUGCCAGUCAAACCAUGGCUAAAUGUAAUCACAUGUCUGCUGAUCUGCAUGUUUGAAGACUGACUGUGUGUGUUAGGCAGAAACAAAAUUCAUUACAUGCAAAGCGUUUGUUUAGAAAUGUUUAAAGCAUAAAACAUAACGGCACACAUAGAAUAUUAAUGGCACAGUGUACAGAUAAAAUAACAUUGCAAUAAUUAUCGAUGGCUGAUAUUGAUGCAUUGUGAUGUUUACUAAAAAUGUUUGUAUUGAAUUGCAUGUGAAAAAGUAACUCUUGUAGAAAAAUGGUUAUUUUGAAAAGCUACAGAAAAGUCACUGAAGUAUUUACGAUUUAUUCCCCUCACAUCACAUUUGU